This 357-nucleotide long non-coding RNA is filed under the name Rhinopithecus bieti (black snub-nosed monkey). RNAcentral's name for it is "lncRNA (ENSRBIG00000045940.1)". The record is from RNAcentral. Lineage: Eukaryota; Metazoa; Chordata; Mammalia; Primates; Cercopithecidae.
GGAUAACAACAGGAGGCAGUCUCCACCCUGAUCCUCCCACUGGGUCCUGGGCGUGAAGGUGGGAGUUAGCAGUGUGGGGUAAGUCCACAGGCAUUUGGAGCAGAUGUGCUGCUGUAGGCAAAAAAGUGAGGAACGGUGGGAAGAGAGACUACAUAGACCCGGGUUCAAAUCUCAGCUCUGCUGGUCUCAAGCUGAAUGAUUGGGCAAGUAACUUAACUUUUUUUUCUUUCCUUUCUUUCUCUCUUUCUCUCCUUCUCUCCUUCCCUCCCUCCCUCCCUCCCUCUCUUCCUUCCUUCCUUCCUUCCUUCCUUCCUUCCUUCCUUCCUUCCUUCCUUCCUUCCUUUCUUCCUUUCUCUU